This 296-nucleotide ribosomal RNA is filed under the name uncultured bacterium. Its description in RNAcentral is "partial 16S ribosomal RNA". It matches the Rfam family "Bacterial small subunit ribosomal RNA", at positions 32 to 324 of the family's 1533-position model. The record is from RNAcentral.
AAUCAACGCUGGCGGCGUGCCUCAGACAUGCAAGUCGAACGAUUAAAGCUCUCUUCGGAGAGUGUAUAGAGUGGCGCACGGGUGAGUAACACGUAAGUAAUCUACCCUCGAGUGGGAGUAACGUCCGGAACGGACGCUAAUACCGCAUAAUGCAGCGGCACCGCAAGGUGACAGUUGUUAAAGAUUAUCGCUUGAGGAGGAGCUUGCGGCAGAUUAGCAGUUGGUAAGGUAAUGGCUUACCAAGGCUACGAUCUGUAACCGGUCUAAGAGGACGGUCGGUCACACUGACACUGAAU